UAACACCUGGAAACAGAUGCUAAUACCGGAUAACAACAGAUGAUGCCUAUCAACUGUUUAAAAGAUGGUUCUGCUAUCACUCUUGGAUGGACCUGCGGUGCAUUAGCUAGUUGUAGGGUAACGGCCUACCAAGGCGAUGAUGCAUAGCCGAGUUGAGAGACUGAUCGGCCACAUUGGGACUGAGACACGGCCCAAACUCCUACGGGAGGCAGCAGCA
Molecule: ribosomal RNA, 217 nt
Filed under: uncultured Lactobacillus sp.
Lineage: Bacteria; Bacillati; Bacillota; Bacilli; Lactobacillales; Lactobacillaceae
Description: partial 16S ribosomal RNA
Rfam family: Bacterial small subunit ribosomal RNA
Source: RNAcentral